RNAcentral lists this long non-coding RNA (1092 nucleotides) under Cervus hanglu yarkandensis (Yarkand deer). Its description in RNAcentral is "lncRNA (ENSCHYG00000001014.1)". Lineage: Eukaryota; Metazoa; Chordata; Mammalia; Artiodactyla; Cervidae. The record is from RNAcentral.
ACGGGAAUGACGACCCACCCCAGUAGCCUGGCCUGGAGAAUCCCAUGGACUAUCCAUGGGGUCUCAAAGAGUUGGGCAUGACGGAGCAACUUCCACUUCCUUAGGAAAUAAUGAUAUUAAAUAAAAGUUUUAUAACUCUAUGUCUAUUAGGUUGCCAUUGCCUUCUCCAACUGAUUAUGAGAGACAUAAAAUUACACGUAAUUUUGUGUUGGACUAUUAAUGUGAGAACCUACCACACGGCAUACACUGAGAUAGGGAUAAACUGGUGAAUAAGACAUGUUCUAUAAUUUAGCAAGAGGACGAGACAGUUACCCACUUUGGUUUGGCUCCUGUCCGCCUUUCUAGCCUCACAUACUGCCACUCCCCAGCUUGCAACGUGACCUGUGGUCAUGCUCAACGCCUCCUAAUCGUCUUGCACAUGCUAGUCCCUCUUCCUGAAACACUGUGCUUCUUCUCUGCCUGUUGAACUUAUACCUCAACCUCCAAUAUCUCAACUUUCCCAGGCAAAGUUAAGUGCAAGCAUGUGUUUUCUCCAUUUCACUCACGUGGAACCAACUUUGAUCCUCUUAGAGCUGGUGACCUCUUUUCCCUAGGAAACUGAACUACUAUAAAAACUAUAAGAACUUCCUAUAAGAACUAGGAAGGCAAAAGACGUGUUCAUUUUUAUUUCUCUAGUUGUGCCUGUGACAUAGACAGUGCUUAAAAUGCACAUUUAUUAAAUGAGCAAACAAAAGUGCUAUGAACAGAUGCUAUGAUGAGAUAAUUUCCUCAUAAUCUCUCCAUUAGUUCUUCUGCCCUCUCUUUCUAACCAUGCUACUAAAAAGCAUCUGUCCAAUCUCCAUAGCAAACCAGAGAGGCUUUUUUGACUUGCUGAUGGUGAGGGAGAGUUAGGCUUUGUCAAACAAGGGAAGGGAAAAGAAUUUUGGAGGAAAAUUUAGGUUUCCCUAAUAUUACCCCAUGACAUCCUGGGGGAUGAUCUUCACUUUAGCAACACACAGCUGAGACUGAGUAAUCUUUGCUCUUCCAUCCCUUUCUUAGACUAGCCAAGUAGGCAAAGUGGUUGUGUUUGUCAUUUGGCUAGCAGUUAACAAC